UUUUGUUUGUGUUAGAGAGAGGGAGAGUUUUUGCACCAUGUAUAGAGAGACCACCUUGUAUUCAGAUUAGUACUUGCUUUGGGACUUCUUUUGUAUUAUCUUAUGUUUUACCUAGCGGAUUAUCAGCUUUAUGAUCUUCUUCUUGUUGUAGCACUUCGUAGUAUUUUGCCCUGAUACACUUAGAUGCUUUCCCCUUUAUUGCUUUAUUUACCGCUUUAUUUUAGACGCCUUAUAUGUUUUAGACGUACGGCGGGUCUGGACACGCGCCGGGUGGGCUUCCGCUGGGUGCCGGGGCGUGGUAGAUUAGUUUAGUAUCAGAGCCUAGGGUUGAGUCCUAGUGGACCUAGCAAACCUUAGGCCGGUUGGACUAUAGGAAAUAGGCUCGUGAGAGACGAGGUCUAUUUGACCUGUAAGCGAAAGUAUCUCGAUUGGGUAUUUUGGAUAACUCUAGGAAGUAGAGUUAAAUCGAAGUGUGUAGCUCCUAACUUCACGGAGGGUUACGUUGGCGGUCGACAACGUAACAUCGGGAGUUAGUAGUGAAGCACACUUCCUUUCUUUUUCCUGAUUUGGGUAUUAUCUUUGAGUAGGGAUGCGAUAGCGUAGGUUUGCUAACUUACGCUUUUAUGAUGUUGUAGUGCGAUGCCGACCACACGCUCCCAAUCUGCUGGAGCGAAAAACGCGGCAAAUCUGGAGGAGGUCGAGACCUCCGCUACCUCCGGAUCCAGCGAGGUCCGUGAGCGGAGGAGCCAGCUGGCAACUCUCACCGACUUGGUGACGCAGCAGGCAGAGGCGGCCCGACAGCAGACUGAUGCGGCGCGCCGACAGGAGGCGCGGAUGAAGCGCCUGGAGGACCUUCUUCUACAGCAGGCGGCAGCUUCCAGGAAGACCCAGGCCCCUACACCGCCAGCACCAGUCGUGGAUGUUGCACCGAGAGCACCGUCCCCUGCGCCCAGUUCGUCGCGAGCGGCGCCCGUAGCUGCGCCUCAGGAGGAGGGUUUGGCGGCACCACUUGUUCAGGCACCCCCGAUUGGAGCUGUUUUCCCUGUGUUGGUUGAGGGGGCGGAGUGGGACCGGCUGAUGGAGCGCCUUAAUGAGUUCAGGAUGUGCAGCCCCAGGAUUUUCGAUGGCAAGAAGGUCGACACUGGAUCGUGGAAAAGUGGUUGAUGCAUAUGGAGAAGCUCUUCCGCGAUACCUUCGUGGUUGGAUCUCCAGGAGAACCCCAGCACUGAUUUGGCAGCUAUCGCGUGGAAGAAGUUCAAGGAGCUUCUACUGGCGCACUACUUCCCGAUCAGCGUCAAGCGCAAGAUGGAGCAGGAUCUGCGCAACUUGCGCCAAGGUGAUCGGACUAUGGCCGAGUACGAGCGGGAGUUUUCUCGGCUUCUGCAUUGCGUGCCCUUCGUCGUGCGGGACGACGAGGACAAGGCCCGCAUUUUCGAGCGAGGGUUGCGACCGUCGAUCUACCGAUUCGUUCAAUCGUCUAACCUCCAAACCUACCGGGAGGUGGUGGAUCGCGCGCUCAUAGUGGAGAGCGGCGCAGCAGAGGUCCAGGAGCGACGAGAGGCCAUGGACAAAGUCAAGGCCAAGAGGCCUGUGGCUGAGGGUGCGAGCCAGACGCACUCUAGGAGGCCGCCGAAGCACCCUAAGAGCCAGCAGCGUGGACGUGGCUCAGCAGCGCAGCGAGGUGGAUCUCACCGACGCCGGCCCUCCCCGUGUGUGAUCUGUGGUGGUCUUCAUCACCCACUGCAGUGCCCACAGCGGGCGAGCAGGUGCUUCCAGUGUGGCCAGGAGGGCCACGUGCGGACUGAGUGCCCGAGAGGUUCUUCACCGGCACCGUCGACUGCAUCGGCACCGGCUCUACCAGCCGCCAGCCACGGGACUCCGUCGACACAGUACCAGCCUGGGCGGCCACCCGUCCAGCGGCAAAGUGAGGGAUUUUGGCAGGCCCCAAGUGGGCGUUUGUAUGCCGCUCAGACUGAGGAGGCAGCAGCAGCCGAGGAUGUGGUUGCAGGUAUCAUUUUACUUGAUGGCAUUAGAGUUCGUGUUUUAUUUGAUACCGGUGCAUCGUAUUUAUUUAUAGAUCGGCUGUUUGCCGAGUUGCAUGGCAUCCCUUUGGUUUCUUUGUUGCAUCCGGGACAUGUUGUAGUACCCGACCACACUUUGGAUAUUAGAGAGUAUUGCCCUAGUUGCCCUGUUCGGGUAAGAGAUUGGAUCAUGCCCGUGGAUUUGCUAGCCCUGCGCAAGCUAGGGGAUUUCGAUGUGGUCUUGGGUAUGGAUUGGCUAACCAAGUAUUAUGCCACAAUAGAUUGUAAGAAUCGCACAGUUACUUUUAGAGAACCGGGCCAGACUGAGGUUGUGUUUAGAGGAUGCCGAAGUUCGCUUUUUGCGACGUCGAUCAGCUCGUCUCGAGCUAGGCAGCUGAUCAGUCGAGGAUGUGUAGCCUACUUGGCUAGCGUUGUGUUGAGGGGUGAGGAUGACACCCCUAGGAUUGAGGAUAUCCCGGUGGUACGGGAGUUCCAGGACGUGUUUCCAGCUGAGUUACCGAGUAUACCGCCCGAUAGGGAGAUCGAGUUUGUGGUGGAUCUUAUCCCUGGGACUACCCUAGUCUCGAAGGCACCCUAUAGGAUGGCACCGGCGGAACUGAAGGAGCUGAGGGCACAGCUACAGGAUUUGUUGGACAAAGGCUUCAUUCGACCGAGCGUCUCACCGUGGGGGGCGCCAGCUCUGUUCGUCAAGAAAAAGGACGGAUCACUUCGCCUGUGUGUGGACUAUCGUGAACUUAAUAAAGUCACGAUCAAGAAUAAGUAUCCGUUGCCUAGGAUCGAUUACUUGUUUGACCAGCUCCAGGGAUCUAGUGUGUAUUUCAAGAUCGACUUGUAGUCGGGAUACCACCAGUUAAAGAUUAAACUCGAGGAUGUAUCGAAAACAGCUUUUAGAACACGGUAUGGACAUUAUGAGUUCACAGUAAUGCCGUUCGAGCUUACUAACGCCCCGACAGCUUUUAUGGAUUUGAUGAACCGUGUCUUCAAGCCUUACUUGGAUAGAUUUGUCGUGGUGUUCAUUGACGACAUUUUUGUUUAUUCCCGAAGUGACGCAGAUCACGAGGAGCAUCUGAGGCUUAUACUUCAAAUACUUCGGGAAAAGGAGCUUUAUGCCAAGUUGAGAAAGUGUGAAUUUUGGCUUCGAGAGGUAGCCUUCCUUGGACAUUUGAUAUCGGGAUCAAGUAUAGCCGUGGAUCCUAAGAAGAUUGAAGCAAUCAAGGAUUGGCCGAGACCGACGAGUGUCACGAAAAUAUGGAGUUUCCUUGGAUUGGCCGGUUACUACCGGAGAUUUGUUGAGGGGUUCGCUAAGCUCUCUACUCCCCUCACGAGGCUCACGCACAAAGGUGUCAAGUUCAUUUGGAAUGAUGCAUGCGAGAGAAGCUUCCAAGAGUUGAAGCAAAGAUUGACGACCGCCCCGAUCCUAACCCUGCCGGUGACUGGAGCAGGGUAUGUGAUUUACAGUGAUGCAUCUCUUAAUGGAUUGGGCUGUGUGUUGAUGCAAGAUGGUAAGGUGAUCGCGUAUGCUUCGCGCCAACUGAAGGAAUAUGAAAAGAAUUACCCUACGCAUGAUUUGGAGUUGGCGGCCGUAAUCUUCGCAUUGAAGUAAUGGCGCCACUACUUAUAAGGCGAGCGGUGUAAAGUAUAUACGGAUCACAAGAGCUUGAAAUAUUUGUUCACUCAGAAGGAGUUGAACUUGAGGCAGUGCAGAUGGUUGGAGCUACUCAAGGAUUAUGUAACACACUGGGCCUUUGCAAAUUGCGAGGUUCGAGUGAUAGGUUGUGUUUCGAGCUUUUUCACACUUGGUGGAGGGUCGUAGAAUGUUUCCGACCUAAAAGUUCGAAAACCUGCGUUCUGGAUGAGUCUUGAGAGUUUUUACUCUCGGGGAUCGGUCCCUGAAAGGAGAGACCGGUCCCCCAGUGAGCAGUGCUGCGCAGCCGGCGAGGCAACCGAUCCCUGGCGGGCGAGACCAGUCCCCGAGCGCGUCUUUGCAGUGAGAGACCGGUCCCGCGCAAGGAGAGACCGGUUCCCGAACGUUGGUUUUUCGGGUUCGCAGCGAGAGACCGGUCCCUUGUAGGGAGAGACCGGUCCUUCUGGGCGAAAAUUGCCCAGACCGGGCUGUUGCAAUAUUGGAUUUUUGAGGGGCCUCUUGGGAUUUUGUUACACUAGAUGGCUUAUAUGGUCACACCACCCUCUCCCCUUCUCAUUUCUCUCCUCACACUCUGCCCACACCUUUGUUAGAGAGAGAAGAAGGAGAAGAAGAAGAAGAAGGAGAAGAAGAGGAGGAGGAUCUAGCUUGGACUUGGAGCAUUUCUUUGCCUCUCUUCCUCUCCCCACCUUGUUGGUGCUUGAAGGCUUGGACUUGGAGCUUGCAAAGGAGGAGAUCUUCACCCUUGGAGCUUGGAUUGGAGCUUCUAAGGAGGUUUGUUGCUCUUUUCCUUCUUCUAGACCUUGAUUUGAGGAUUUUUAGUAAAUGGAACCCUAGAAUGGAAUUUUAGGGUUUAUUUUGGGUAUUUUGGAUCUAGGGAUUUUGAGGCUAGAUUUCUCGGAUUAGAACCCUCCUUUGGGUUAAAUUGGAAGGAUCCUAGCCUUCUUUUGGAGCUUGAGAGAGAAUUUCUACUCCCUAGGUGAGUUUUUGCCCUUUUUGUAAGAUUGUUAAUGUUUGAGCCUAGAAUUGCGCGUAAUGCUUGUGUAUCUCUUCGCUUAUCACUUUUAGGGUAUUUUGAGACUCGUGGACAACUUCUUUCGGCGAAACGAAGGACACCGUGACGGUUCGGUGGGUUUGACCUAGCCUGGCACAUGAGAAGUUCUCAUAUCCCCUGUUUUAUGCUUGUAGAGUAAAAUUUCAUGCAUUUCUAUGAUAAAUGUAUUUAUUGUGAAUUUUAGGAUGCUUAACAUGCCUAUAUUAUGUGUAAGAAAUUUCGGGCCCCUAUAUAAUAGAGGGCUACCUUGUGGGGUUUAUACAUGAUUGGCAUCCUAUUGGGACUCGGAAUCAUACUUUCCAUUGUAACAAUAAGCAUUAUCUUCAUGCAUUUUGAGCUAUUCCUAUUUGCGACAUAGAGGAUAUUAGUGAGCCAUAAAGAGGCAUAUGACAAGAUUGACAUGUGGGAUUGCGAGCUAAUGUCAUAAAGCGGCAUUGAGCUCGGGUUGUGGGUGAGCCUAGUGGAUAGGGCCAUUGAGGGAUUUAGAAUUGGAACAUGUUUGUACAUCGAAACGUCUAAGUGUCAUAAAGGGACACUAGACUUAGUGAAUAAUAGGAGCUUCACAUUGUGACUUAGAACUAGAUCCUGGAGAUGCUAGUGAUUAUUACCAUGUUAAAGACAUGAGGAUUGGGUACUUGAGACGUUGACUACGCUUGCUUGCUAUUUGUGCUCAUUUGCACAUGCUUGUGAGGGUCGCUCCCUACAAGCCGGCACUCCGGAGUUAGCCUACGCGACUUAUGUUCGCUCGUGCGGUAUUGAGAAGCCUACGGGGUCGAGUGGGACAGACACAUUCCAAGAGUAGGGAUGUUGGGCUACCACAGGCACUUAGGCGGCACAAGCUGGACUACCUUUGGUAGGUCCUUAAUUGGAAAUGGAAAUCGACAUAGUGUUGAGAAUGAAUAAUCACUACUAGAUAGGCUUAGUAGUUGGAUUACUUGACAUGCUCAUGACAUAGCAUUGGGAUAUAUAUAGUAUACUUGCUUGUUUCAUUCAUUGCAUCAUAGUAUACUGGGUUGCUUUGAUAGAGCGUACUCCUUAUACAUUGACCUAUUGCAUCGUGACGGUUACUUGUUCAUUAUGUUAAGGCAUAUUAGUAUGCAUUGGACAUAUCAUCUUAUGAUAGCGUAGAUGUAUAUCACCAUGACAUCAAGCUUACUUGAGACAUAGUAGUAUAGCAUUUCAUUUAUACUUUCUUUCAGCAGUUUUUAUACUCGCUCUUUAUUGUUUAUUAUUAUUAUUGUCGUUACUUACCCUUUUCUUUUGGGGCCUAGUGGUGCAUUGAGCUGAGGUCAGUAAUUGCCCACUGGGAACUAUAAAUUAUAGUUCUCACGCCCUCUGUUUUAUGUUUCCUUUCAGAGCCUUCCACACCGGGAGAGGCUAGGGACCGCGGGAAGGGAGUUGCUUCGAGCUAGCUUCCUUCGAGGACGAUUUGAUAGGUGGUCUACCUCUCGUUACUUUAUUUUGUGUGAGGUCGAGAGUUGUACCCGUUUAUGUAUAGAGACCCCUAUUUUUGUACUAGAGACAGAUAUUGUACUACUUUAUGUAUUACUUUUACUGUUUUAGUUAUGUUUCCUUCACUCUGGUUAUUGAUGAUAGAACUUUACUUGCUCUGAUAUCUCUGGUUAUAGGUUAUUCUUGCUUUUACUUCCGCUUUUAUUGUAGACGCUUUGUAUGUGUAGACAUAUGGCGGGUCUGGGCACGCCACCAGGAGGGCCUCCGCCGGUCCCGGGGCGUGACAGAUUACGACUUGACUAUUCUUUACCACUCGGGCAAGGCUAACGUGGUGGCGGAUGCGCUAAGUAGGAAAUCAACUGAAAACUUAGCGAUGCAUGUUGUUACUCAACCGCAGUUGAUCGAGCAAAUGAAGUGGUUGGAGUUGGAGGUGGUGACUCCUAACACACCUUUGAGAUUGAUGACCUUGGUUGUGCAACCUAUACUCUUGAAUAAAAUAAAAAAGAAGCAACCUUCCGAUAUGGAGUUACAAAAGAUUAAUGGUAAAAUGGUUAAUGGUUGCACCGGCGACUUCCUUGUAGAUGAUCAAGGACUGAUGCGUUUCUGUGGACGAAUUUGUGUACCGGCGGAUUCGAAAAUUAAAGAGGAUAUUCUUCAAUAAGCGCACCGAGCGCCCUAUGCUAUACAUCCGGGAGGCACCAAGAUGUACAAGGACUUAAAGUUGCUUUAUUGGUGGCUCGGGAUGAAAAAGGACGUUCGCGAGUUUGUAGCUCGUUGUCUAAUUUGCCAACAAGUAAAGGCUGAACAUCGAUUACCCGCGGAAAAACUUUAGAGUUUGCCUAUUCCCGUGUGGAAGUGGGAGAAGAUCACCAUGGAUUUUAUGACAGGAUUGCCUAGCUCUCAGGCCGGGUAUGAUGCUAUAUGGGUGAUCGUGGAUAGGUUGACAAAGUCGGCGCACUUCAUACCUAUUCAUACUACUUGGACCAGAGAGAAGCUCGCGCAAGUGUACCUUGAUGAGAUUGUACGGCUUCAUGGAGUGCCUACAUCGAUAGUAUCUGAUCGGGACACUCGGUUUGUGUCUCAUUUUUGGAGGAGUCUGUAGGACGCAUUGGGCACCCAACUGGACUUCAGCACGGCUUUCCACCCUCAGAGUGACGGACAGUCGGAGCGCACCAUUCAGACUUUAGAGAAUAUGCUCCGAGCUUGUGUGAUAGACUUCUAGGGAGGAUGGUCGCAACAUCUACCGAUGGCGGAAUUUGCUUAUAACAACAGUUAUCAAGCAGGCAUCAAGAUGGCGCCAUUUGAAACACUUUAUGGACGGAAGUGUAGAUCGCCACUUCAUUGGAGUGAAGUUGGCGAGAGAUUGGCAUUAGGCCCUGACGUGCUCCAGGAAGUUGAGGACAAGGUUCAAAUUGCUCGGGAGCGACUUUUGACGGCACAGAGUAGACAAAGGAGCUACGCCGACUGACGACGGCGAGACUUGGAGUUCCAAGUAGGAGACCAUGUUUUCUUGAAGGUCUCGCCGACUAGAAGGAUCAAGAGAUUUAGGAUUCGGGAUAAGUUGAGCCCCCGUUUCAUUGGACCGUAUGAGAUCUUGGAACGGGUAGGUCCGGUAGCGUAUCGACUUGCUCUACCACCGAACCUAUCUGGCGUGCACAAUGUCUUUCAUGUAUCGGUUCUUCGGAAGUAUGUCUUCGACCCGACUCAUGUGUUGGAUGCUACACCUGUGGAGUUGCGGGACAAUUUGAACUUCGAGGAGCAACCCGUGAAGAUUUUGGCUCGCGAGGUGUGGAAACUGCGGAAUCGGGAUAUUCCGUACGUGAAGGUGCUUUGGAGCAACCACGGGGAGCGGGAGGCCACGUGGGAGCUAGAGAGCGCGCUGCAGGAGCGCUAUCCCCAUCUUUUUCAGAUUGAGCCUUGAGGUAUGUGGUUGUUUUGAGUUUCGCGGAUGAAACUCCUUUUUAGGAGGGGUGAAUGUAACACACUAGACCUUUGCAAAUUGCGAGGUUCGAGUGUUUGAUGUGUACUCCGAACUUUUUCACACUUGGUGGAAGGCCGUAGAUGGUAUUACGGCCUAAAAGCUCGAUCUCUAGAGUUUUGGCAUGUCCUGAGAGUUUUCACUCUCGGGGACUGGUCCCUGAUGUGAGAGACCAGUCCCCUCAGCUCAGUGUUGCGGCAGCUGGCGAGGCAACCGGUCCCUGGCAGGCGAGACCGGUCCCCGAGCGCAUCUGUGCGGGGAGAGACCGGUCCUGUGCGGGGAGAGACCGGUUCCCGAACGUUGGAUUUUCGGGAUAGGCUGAGAGACCGGUCCCAAGUCGGGGAGACCGGUCCCUCUGGGCGUAAACUGCCCAGACCGGGCUGAUGUGAAUUUGAGUUUUUGAGGGGCUUUUCUGGAUUUUGUUGCACUAAAUGGUCUAUAUGGCCCUUUCACUCUCUUCUCUCCUCAUUUCUCCCCUUCACACCCAUUCUAGAGAGAGAAGAAGAGAGGGAGAAAGAGAGGAAGAAGAAGGAGAAGGAGAGGUUCUUGCUUGGAGGCCUUGGAGCACCAUCUUCUUCCUCAUUUCUCACCUUUUGGAGGCUUGGAGCUUGCCUUUGGAGCUUGGUGGUGGACCAAUCUUCAACCUAGGAGGAUUUUGGACUUAGUUUGGAGCUUCCUAAAGGUAUAUGACUACUUCUUCUCCUCUAGAUCCUAGUUUUGGAGCUUUUUGGUUGAAGAAACCCUAGAUUGGGAUUCUAGGGUUAGAUUUGGGGCUUUUUGGAUUUGAGGGCUUUGAAACCUAAUUGAUGGGUUUGGAACCUUUAAUUAGGUUGGAUUUGAAGCACUCUAACUCCCAUUUGGAGCUUGAGAGGAAAUUUCUUCACCUAGGUGAGUUUUUCUCCACCCUAGCCUAUAUUGCUUAUUGAUUGAGCUUAGGGUUGAUCGUAAGAUUUGUUUGACCCUUGUUCCUACAUCUUUAGGGUGCUAUGAGACUAGUCGACACCUUCGUCGGGGCUUACGAAGGGUUUUGGCAUCAUCGGUGGGUUUGGCUUCAUGAACACAGGGCAAAAUGGCCCCUAAGUUUUCUAUACUUGUCGUAAAGUAUUUUUGAAUGCAAAUCCAUACUAAAUAUGAAUUAUGUGAAUUUUAGAACACUUGAAAUGCAUGCCUUAUGUAUUCAUGAAAUUGCACUCUAUAUAGUAGAGUUAUAUGUGUAGACUGCAUGUAUUGUGAAAGGUGGAUAGCUUUGUAAGUUGAGAACAUGUCUCCUAUGUUUGAAAUGAGUAGAAUUAUGUAUUCAUGAAUAUAGAUACCAUGGUUGGACUCAUUGAACAAUAGUGUCAUGAAGAGGCACUUGAAACUAGUAAACUAUGAGAAUGCAACAUAGAGACAUAGUGAUAGGCCAUUGGACAUCGACUAUAUUCCAUGUUAGAGACAUGACGACAUAGUGAUAGGCCUUUGUGACAUUCGAUACUUUCCAUGUUCAUAGACAUGAGGACUUGAGACUUGAGACAGACUUAUACGCAUGCUUGCCAUUGUGCUCAUUCGCACAUGCUUGUGAGGGUCGCUCCCUACAAGCCGGCACUCCGGAGUUGGCCAUCGCGAUACGUUCGCCGUGCGGGAUUGGGCGCCGAAGUGGAUUGCUGUGGGAAAGGCUCAUCCCUAGGGUGGGGAUGUUGACUACCACGGGGCCAUUAGGCACGGUAAAGCCAGACAGCCUUCGGGUGGGUCUUAUGCCAGACAGCCUUCGGGUGGGUCUUAUCAAAGUUGAACUGUAAACAAUUAAAGUGACAAGUGACAUUGACUAGAAUAGUAAACAAUGACAUCUUUACUACCUACAUUGUGGACAUUGGAUUAGUUGCGUAUUUAUGCAUUUGCAUGUUGGAUACUCUUGUGCACAUACUUGUAGUAACUGCCUUCUUACUUAUGCAAAUCAUGCUAAGUAGAGAUAUCAUGGUUGAAUAGUAUUCAUAUUUAUUUCCUAGUUGUUCUUAUCGCUUUGGCUUAUACUUGUACACUGACCCACUUUUGUAGUUUUGGGCCUAGUGGCGCAUUUCACUGAAGUCAGUAAUUGCCCACUGAGAGCUAUUAUUUAAUAGUUCUCACGCCCAUAUUCCUAUGUUUUCUUUUCAGAGCCUUCGGCACCGGCGCAGGCACGGGAUCGCGGCAAGGGUGUCGCGUAGAUAGCUCGGGAGAGAGUCCGUUUUGCGAUAGGUGGUUGCUCCUUUUGUUUGUGUUAGAGAGAGGGAGAGUUUUGGCACCAUGUAUAGAGAAACCACCUUAUAUUCAGAUUAGUACUUGCUUUGGGACUUCUUUUGUAUUAUCUUAUGUUUUACCUAGCGGAUUAUCAGUUUUAUGAUCUUCUUCUUGUUGUAGCACUUCGUAGUAUUUUGCUUUGAUACACUUAGAUGCUUUCCCCUUUAUUGCUUUAUUUACCGCUUUAUUUUAGAUGCCUUGUAUGUUUUAGACGUACGGCGGGUCUGGACACGCGCCGGGCGGGCUUCCGCUGGGUCCCGGGGCGUGACAGUAAUACACUGAACUUUUGCAAAUUGCGAAGUUCGAGUGUGAGGAAUGAUAUGUGGAUCUAUCCUACAUAUUUUAAAAGACUUGGACAAGUUUUUGGACAAGUUGGAGAGUAAUUGGAUGGCUAAAAGCAAGAAAAUGCAUUGAUUUGGCGAAAUCAGCAUUUUUCUGCUUGCUGUACCGGUACAGCCAUUACCUUGUACCGGUACAGACUGGCAGAAACGU
RNAcentral lists this long non-coding RNA (10916 nucleotides) under Ananas comosus (pineapple). Its description in RNAcentral is "long non-coding RNA (ACOM_LNC005498)". Lineage: Eukaryota; Viridiplantae; Streptophyta; Magnoliopsida; Poales; Bromeliaceae. The record is from RNAcentral.